This 440-nucleotide ribosomal RNA is filed under the name uncultured bacterium. RNAcentral describes it as "bacterial SSU rRNA". It matches the Rfam family "Bacterial small subunit ribosomal RNA", at positions 338 to 795 of the family's 1533-position model. The record is from RNAcentral.
CCUACGGGGUGCACCAGCGGGGAAUAUUGGACAAUGGGCGAAAGCCUGAUCCAGCAAUGCCGCGUGUGUGAAGAAGGUCUUCGGAUUGUAAAGCACUUUCGACGGGGACGAUGAUGACGGUAACCGGAGAAGAAGCCCCGGCUAACUUCGUGCUAGCAGCCGCGGUAAUACGAAGGGGGCUAGCGUUGUUCGGAAUUACUGGGCGUAAAGCGCGCGUAGGCGGAUAGAUAAGUCAGAGGUGAAAUCCCGGGGCUCAACCCCGGAAUUGCCUUUGAUACUGUUUAUCUUGAGUGCAGAAGAGGUAAGUGGAAUUCCCAGUGUAGAGGUGAAAUUCGUAGAUAUUGGGAAGAACACCGGCGGCGAAGGCGGCAACCUGGCUCGAUACUGACGCUGAGGCGCGAAAGCGUGGGGAGCAGACAGGAUUAGAUACCCCUGUAGUC